GUGGGGAAUCUUGCGCAAUGGGCGAAAGCCUGACGCAGCCAUGCCGCGUGAAUGAUGAAGGUCUUAGGAUUGUAAAAUUCUUUCACCGGGGACGAUAAUGACGGUACCCGGAGAAGAAGCCCCGGCUAACUUCGUGCCAGCAGCCGCGGUAAUACGAAGGGGGCUAGCGUUGCUCGGAAUUACUGGGCGUAAAGGGUACGUAGGCGGACAGGUUGGUCAGAGGUGAAAGCCCAGGUCUCAACCUUGGAAUUGCCUUUGAUACUGGCUGUCUUGAGUACGGGAGAGGUGAGUGGAACUCCGAGUGUAGAGGUGAAAUUCGUAGAUAUUCGGAAGAACACCAGUGGCGAAGGCGACUCACUGGCCCGUUACUGACGCUGAGGCGCGAAAGCGUGGGGAGCAAACAGGAUUAGAUACCCCAGUAGUCC
This 425-nucleotide ribosomal RNA is filed under the name uncultured bacterium. RNAcentral describes it as "partial 16S ribosomal RNA". It matches the Rfam family "Bacterial small subunit ribosomal RNA", at positions 354 to 796 of the family's 1533-position model. The record is from RNAcentral.